Molecule: ribosomal RNA, 433 nt
Filed under: uncultured bacterium
Lineage: Bacteria
Description: partial 16S ribosomal RNA
Rfam family: Bacterial small subunit ribosomal RNA
Source: RNAcentral
AACGAACGCUGGCGGCAUGCCUAACACAUGCAAGUCGAACGAGACCUUCGGGUCUAGUGGCGCACGGGUGCGUAACGCGUGGGAACCUGCCCUUAGGUUCGGAAUAACUCCCCGAAAGGGGUGCUAGUACCGGAUAAUGUCUUCGGACCAAAGAUUUAUCGCCUUUGGAUGGGCCCGCGUUGGAUUAGCUAGUUGGUAGGGUAAAAGCCUACCAAGGCGACGAUCCAUAGCUGGUCUGAGAGGAUAAUCAGCCACACUGGGACUGAGACACGGCCCAGACUCCUACGGGAGGCAGCAGUGGGGAAUAUUGGACAAUGGGCGAAAGCCUGAUCCAGCAAUGCCGCGUGAGUGAUGAAGGCCUUAGGGUUGUAAAGCUCUUUUACCCGGGAUGAUAAUGACAGUACCGGGAGAAUAAGCUCCGGCUAACUCCGUG